This 466-nucleotide ribosomal RNA is filed under the name uncultured bacterium. RNAcentral describes it as "bacterial SSU rRNA". It matches the Rfam family "Bacterial small subunit ribosomal RNA", at positions 330 to 794 of the family's 1533-position model. The record is from RNAcentral.
GCCAGACUCCUACGGGAGGCAGCAGUGAGGAAUAUUGGUCAAUGGGCGGGAGCCUGAACCAGCCAAGUCGCGUGAGGGAAGAAGGUACUGAGUAUUGUAAACCUCUUUUGCCACGGGAACAAGGCGGCCACGGGUGGCCGUACGAGGGUACCUGGAGAACAAGACUCGGCUAACUCCGUCCAAGACGACGCGGUCAUAACCAGGAUGACCCCGUUAUCCGGAUUUAUUGGGUUUAAAGGGUGCGCAGGCGGCGUGUCAAGUCAGCGGUAAAAUGUGUGGGCUCAACCCCGGCCGGCCGUUGAAACUGGCGUGCUCGAGUUGGAGAGAAUGAUGCGGAAUUCGUGGUGUAGCGGUGAAGUGCAUAGAUAUCACGAAGAACCCCGAUUGCGAAGGCAGCAUACCGGCUCCACACUGACGCUGAGGCACGAAAGCGUGGGUAUCGAACAGGAUUAGAUACCCUCGUAAA